GCCGGGGUAGCUCACCGGUAGAGCGCGGCCCUGAAAAGGCCGGCGUAGGCAGUUCAACUCUGCCCCCCGGCACCA
Molecule: transfer RNA, 75 nt
Filed under: Acidobacteriota bacterium
Lineage: Bacteria; Pseudomonadati; Acidobacteriota
Also listed under: 6 other names
Description: Acidobacteria bacterium tRNA-Phe
Rfam family: tRNA
About the family: Transfer RNA (tRNA) molecules are approximately 80 nucleotides in length. Their secondary structure includes four short double-helical elements and three loops (D, anti-codon, and T loops).
Source: RNAcentral